CUCCUACCAACCUAGCAGUUCAAAAGCACUCCAAAAAGUGCAAGUAGAUAAAUAGGUACCACUCCGUCGGGAAGGUAAGCGGCGUUUCCGUGUGCUGCUCUGGUUUCGGUGUUCCAUUGUGCCAGAAGCAGCUUAGUCAUGCGGGCCACAUGUUCCGGAAAAACUGUCCGCGGACAAACGCUGGCUCCCUUGGCCUGUAAAGUGAGAUGAGCGCCUCUACCCCAGAGUCAUCUGCAACUGGACUUUACUGUCAGGGGUCCUUUACCUUUUUUUUAUGACACAGUUAAAAUAUCUCUGUUUAUAGAAAAUGAAACUAGAGAUCGCUGAGGAGCAGAAACAACAGUACAAAGGACUGACCCACUCAUUGAAUUAAUUGAUGGAUUAAUUGUACAACCCCAGGGGGAGGUGAGCCUUUUUUAUUCUCUUUUGAUAUAUAUGUAUUUGCAGUGUUACCUGGUAAACCUUCCCUGAAAGGUAACAGUUUGAAAUACGCAAGUGGAUUUGAAAAAACACUGCUGCUAUCUCCUCAGUGGAAGGAAGGAAAAUAUUCUGGACUGGAGCUACUUUGUUUUUGCAGAGGUACCAGCAUGUUGGGAGAUGGUGCGAGACUACGGAAGCGAAUUCUGGAUGGCUGCCUGGAGCUAAUGGUGUCUUUUUGUCUGGGACUGUGGCGUAUUUUGGCUCUUGUUGGCAGAAAUCAAAAAUGGAAUUGCUGGAAUGUGGACAACAGGGGAAAAUAUUUCACACAGAACUAUGAAGACAAAAGUUUGAACAGACUAGUGGUUGUAAACAUAAAUGAAAAUUAAGCGAAGGAUUAACAUCGGAAUGGUUUAUUGACUAAUUAAGAAAUGCAAUGUGAUAUUAGAUUAUUAGCACUCCAUGAAAUUCAGAGCUUGGGAAGCCACCCAAAGAUACAGAAUUUGGCAUUUAUACUUGGCUUUUUGAUUGUAUUGUAAUUUGGAAUGUUUUAAUGUGGUUCUUUUUGGAUUAUUAAAAUGGAAAACUUAAUAAAUAUUAUAUAAAUACAUAAAUAAAUAAGUGGAAAUGAAGCAGCUGGUUGCCAUAAUGAAAUUAUGAUGACACUGUCACUCUGUAGUGGCAGUGCUGAAGUCAUAAGUCAGAUUCAAGGGGGAAUUUCCCCCAAGGCCCUGCCUACCAUUUAACAGUGACCUAAGGUUUUCCAGUAAAACAUGAAAUGGUGCACACACUACAUCUUGUUUGUGUGCUUAGUUCAUAACUUUUCUCUUAGUUAAAUAAAUAAAAAUAAUAUUUUAUUACUUAUCCCCAGCUACUAUGGGCGGCUUCCAGCAAGAUAUAUAUAAAAAAUGUCAAACAUAAAAAAACUUCCUGAUACAGGCUGCCUUCAGGUAUCUUCUAAAAGUUCUGUAGUUCUUUAUCUUCUUGACAUCUGAUGGGAGGGCGUAUCACAGGGCAGGCGCCGCCAGUGAGGAGGUCCUCUGCCUGGUUUCCUUUAACCGCACUUCUUGAAGUGAGGGAACCACCAGAAGGCCCCCGGAGUUGUCCGGGCUGAACGAUGGGGGUGGAGACGCUCCUUCAGGUAUACUGGGCUUAGGCCAUUUAGGGCUUUAAAGGUCAGCACCAACACUUUUAAUUGUGCUUGGCAACAUACUAGGAGCCUUUAGGACUGGUGCUAUAUGGUUCGGGGGGCACUCCCAGUCAGCAGUCUAGCUGCUGCAUUCUGGAUUAGUUGUAAUUUCUGAGUUACCUUCAAAGGUAGCCCCACGUAGAUUGCAUGGCAGUAGUCCAAACGGGAGAUAACGCUUGCCAUCCUAAGAGCUGUGCUUCCGUCUUCCAGUACUAUGUGGUGAACGUGGACUAUGACAAGCUGAAAAAAGAGUGCCCAGAUUUCUGAAGAGCAAAUGUUCUCCCUCUACAAGCUGCACAAGAUGAAGAGGUUUAGGUCUUCCAGAAGCCAUCUGCACAACUCAUACGCUUAAAUCAUCCAGGAAAUCUUAAAACUGUCUGCACAAGGCGCUUAAAUCAGGCAUGUCCAAAGUCUGUGUCGGGGGCCUAGUCCAGUCGGUUUAAUCCAGCCCCUGUGGCAGUUUAUUUCCUGGGGUAAAAUCCUAAAAAAACCUCAACAACUUCAAUCCUAAAAAAAGGAAAAAGGUUAACAACUUUGGUCGGCCCUUUGGUCAGCCCUCACGGCCCUUCACUUCAUCAAAUCUGGCCCUCUUUGAAAAAAGUUUGGACAGCACUGAAGAGUUAAAGUCAAAGAGUUCAAGAGAGGCAGAGAAGAGGGUGCUGGAUGUCAGGAGCUGCAUUCUCUCCCGUGUGCGGCAGAGUGUGUGUGACUACUGGAUCACAAGCUCUGUGUGUUGACAUUCCAUUCUUUGAAAGCGUGGAAACAGAAGGAACUGUGUGCAACCUCCGUCUUCUGUAUUCUUUGUUCUGUUCUGUUGUUGUUCUCUCUCGGAUGACCCCCCCUAAUCCGCUUCCACUGGGAAAGAGGUGUGGUUUAAGCACCCCGGUCACCCACCCCUUCCCAUUGUGCCCUGACCCUCUCCAUGCAAGGAUUCAGGUGAGUACAUGCCUUGGGGCGCAGCAAGCUUUGGGGGGCUGGGGGGAGAAUGCAAUGCCAGUGGGAUGAUGGAGAGGGAGACAGCAGGCAGGGAAACUGCUGGGCAGGUGGGGGAGGGAGAGAACCCCCCCCCCAAAUGAUCAUUUGUACAUUUGACUAGUGUUGUGUGGAGGGAAAUGCAGCCCCUGGGCUGAAAAAUGUCCCCCUCCUAUGUUUGAAAUUCUAGAAUAAGUAACUGCCUCUUUCCCCUCAGCUGCUAUGUCUAUUUGUGACAUCACAGGAGACCAUACAUAGACAGGGCUGGGGAAACUAGGCCUCAAGGGGGGCAUUUAUUAAUAAAGAAAUGAUGACUGAGGACCUCCCCCUUGUGACACCCAUGGCACCCUCAAAAACAAAGACCCCCCGACCCCCCUCCCAUUUUUAAAAAGUUGACCCCAAAUCUGUUAGUUUUUGCAGUGCUGCAAGACUGUUUGUUUUGGCAGUUGAGGGAUUGGUAUUAUUUAUUUUGCCCUUUGUGAGACAUAAACUGGGUCCUUCGAGUUAAGGUCUCUGGAGCCUUUUAAAUAAAGUGAUCUGGACAAAAUAGGUGAAUUAAGAAACCUUUUUUUAUUAGGCACACUUGCAAGUGGGGUAUUCCAAGAUCAGGUACAUCUUCAUCAGGAAAACCACACCUUAAAAAGUUGCUUGUCCAUCCGCAAGUCCCUCCUUCCACGCCCACAAGAAGGGGCGUGCCAAUUUACAGAAGUAUCGCGUCCGCCUCAUUAACAUUUUACCAUUCCACUUCCCAUGUUAAUCAUAAUACAAUACAAUACAAUAUAAUACAAUCCAAAUACUUUUAUUGGCAUUUUAAGUUAAGACAUUUCAAAAUGGCAUCAGAUGCAAAGUCUUUCUUCUUCCUGUUUCCGAGAGAUUUGAGUGGGGAAAUCCUUUCGAUUCCUCAAUAAUAAGAGGCAGUGGGGUGAGGGAGGCAAGGGCCACAUCCACACCAUUUAAAGCGCUAUGAAGCCGCUUUAAACACUCAUGGCUUCUUCCCCAAAGAAUCUGGGAGCUAUAGUUUGAAAAGGGUGCAGAGAGCUGUUAGGAGACAGCCCUGCUCCCCUCCCAGAGUUCCCUGCCAAGAAGGGAACUCUACUCCUACCCCUACCCCUGACGCUAACCCUAACUCUAAUGCUAACCCUUAACACUUAACUAGAGCUACAACUCCCAGAGUUCCCUGGCAAGAAGGGAACCCUAACCCUACACCUGACGCUAACCCUAACUCUAACCCUUAACUAUAGCUACAAUUCCCAGAGUUCCCUGGCAAGAAGGGAACCCCUACCCCUACCCCUAACCCCUACCCUAAACGUAACCCCCCUAGCAAAUCUCCGUCCCCUUAACCACCUACAGUUCCCAGAAUCCCUGAGGAGAAGCCAUUCCUGUUCAAAGCGUCUUCAUAGCACUUCCAAUGGUGCGCCUAAUGUGGCCCUCAUUUUCUUCUCUCUCCCCACUGCCCCAUCACUUGCAAUGCAGCAGAUGUCCGCCUGCAGUCUCCCUUCAAAGCUCCUUCGCUCAGGUCUGGCCACGGCCUUGUCCAUAGCUCACUGUCAGUUUUUCAGGUUCAUUUCUCCAAUUUAAAUAGGGACGUCCUGCGGUUCUCUUCAUGACUUUGAAGGCUGGACUUGGGGAAAACCUCACCGGCUCCAGACAUCCCUGUAAGGCAAAGGCAAACAGGUGAGUGGGAUGGCCCCCAUCCGCAGCAUCCCCCCCCCGACUCAUCCUCUGUUUGGCUGCCUGUUCACAAACAAGGCUUCCAAACCAGUUUGCAUCCAUCUCAGCCAGCCUAGCCUCGUGGCAUCCACUAGCCUGAAUGAAAACUCCUCACACCAUCCACCAGCUGCAGCCUCGCCAGGUCCAUUGCCAGACAUCAACUAGCUUCAGAGCUGAAUAUCAGUCGCCUUCAAGUAGCGAUCCCACCAGCAAGUAAACUUUGUACUUGCCUUCUCCUUGCUCCACAGCAUCCCAGCACCGGGCCAUUGCCUCCUUCCGCUUGCCAGCUUGCCAUCACAUGGCAGGAGACCACCAGGGAUGAGUGCCAGUGAGCUGCCCAUUUCUCUCUGGGGAGGGCAACUGCCUUGGCCCACAUUUAUACCCGCUCAGGUGCCAAAUGGUUUUGUGACAUCCCAGUCAACCCACCAACAAUGGCAGCAGCUGGGGAGGCAUCACCCCCACCCCCUCUGCCCUCACAAUGGUAAGCGCAGCUCAGCAGCCAAAACACACACACCACAAACCCAAGUUGUGCCUUAUCUGUGAAGGCCACACCAGAAACCCAAGGGGUCAGAAGGGGAACAUUUUUCAGCCCUGAGGUUGCAUUUCCCUCCACACAACACUAGUCAAAUGCACAAAUGAACAGAGCAAUGAAAGCAAGCCUUAUCUUUGCACAGGAAGCUGUUCAAGGAAUGACAUGCAGAAAGUUAGUAUCUCAGGAAAAAAGCACUUUUCAUCAAUCAAUCAAUCAUUAAUUGCAUUUGACUAAAAGCCAUUACAAUUGUAGUUACAAAAGCACCAAACCCAAUGACCCAAACCAUAGCUCCCGGACUCCUUGGGGGAAGAAGCCAGGUGGAUGCCAUGUGACCUCAGUGUUGUGUCAAGUGAUGGCUGCAUACUACCUCCAGGUUCAAAGGCGGCAUAUUUCUGUAUAUCAGUUCCUGAGAAUCAUGAGGGAUGUUGUGGUCAGAUUCUAGGCAGUUUUUGCACAGGCAUCUGUGAGAACGUGAUGCUGAACUUGGGCCACUGGCCUGAUCCAGGCAGCUUUCUUAUGUUACAAAGGAAGACCUCCAAGAAAGAGCCUUGCAGCACUGUUGCACCCAUGUCUACUUGGAAGUAAGUCCUACUGAAUUCACUGGGGCUUCCUCCCAUGUAGGUGGGAUUGUAGCCUUUGCCAUUUUGGGGGAGAGCUGCCUGUGGUGCCAAGUAAAAAUAAGAAUAAAUGACUAAAACAAAAUAAGAAUAAAUGACUAAAACAGAAUCCUUGUGUAUGAAAAUCACAAUCUGCCAGUGAAACGGUCCUCUUCUGAUCUCAUGACAGUGGAAAGGCACACCAGCCAGUGACCCCUUGGAAGGCAUGGCUGAGGAGUCAGACUCUUAAUUCAGGGACACUGAGAACCUAGAAUGUUUUUGUUCCUUCCCGGGAAAGGGAGAAAUGGUUACCAAAUAAAAAUAAAUUACCAAAUAAAAAUAAAUUGGAAAAAAGAUACUCAAAGAAACAGCCAGUACAUAGUUCACAUAAAAGAUGCAGAGAAAAAGUGAAAUGCCACAGUGCUGGAAUGGUUUUAAAAUUUCUGAUUUUGGAGUGCAUUAUGUGCAGUGACGCAGCUUCAUGUUCCAGAACCGGGUGGCGGAGAGCAGGUGGGUGGGUGGCUGGUGCGUGCCCAGGGGGUGUUGCACCCAGCAUGGGGGGGGCAGCCACAAUGGCACCCCACCGGGAUCGCGCUGCCGGGGGUGGUGCACUCCCCUGCAACCCUCUUCCUCCACCAGUGAUUAGGUGACUUUCUGAAACUUGCAGCAUUUCUUGGAGUGCUACAUUAAAAGUAUUCUCUUGGAAUUCUCCCUUUGUAGUAUCCAAACUUUUUUUCAAAGAGGGCCAGAUUUGAUGAAGUGAAGGACUGUGUGGGUUGACAAAAGUACCAACCAAAGUUGUUAACCUUUUUUUUUAGGAUUGAAGAAGUUGUUGAGCUUUUUUUGGAUUGAAAUUGUUGAGGUUUUUUAGGAUUUCCCCCCAGGAAAUAAAUUGUCACAGGGGUUGACCGGUGGACCAGAUUAGCUCCCCAAAAUGGACUUCGGAUAUGCCUGCUCUAAGCAAAUCAGAAUGAAUGCUCAAUAAAGACUGGACAUAAUCUAACAGCUGUGUAACCUUUGUGCAAGCAUAUCAGAAUGAAUGCUGAAUAUGCAGGUCUUUCUGCAGGGCUCAAAUAUACUUGUAUAGGGUUGGGGGAAGCAAGGGAUCUUUUUGUACUUUUGGUAAUAUAAUCAGGAAGUGAAAGGAUCCAGCUUGGCAUGUGCUGUGAUACAAAGAAUCAGCUGAGAGCCACUUCCAAUUAGAAUAGAUUAUGGGGUAGAUGGAUGAGUGGCCUGAUAAAGCAGACCCAUAUGUUCCAGGUGUGGGGGAAGAACUCAAGUGAUUGAUUUCAAAUGGAAACAAGAAGUGUGGGCUCUAUGCCGAAGAACCCCUUUAAGAUGGGCAGAGAUUGAGCUCUCCUUCUUGCAUGGUAGCCAAUUCCCUAAAAUGUGGGAGGCCAUCACUGUUGCUAGCCUCAAUUUUCCCAGUGAGAAAGAAGGUCACUGAUAUCAAGUGAGAUGACUCUAUAACACAGUGUUGCUUUGACAAAUAAUAACAGGGGCAGCCUGUAGAAGACUGGCUGGGCGUAGACCUUUGAAGACUUCUAGCAAGAUGGUGUUUCUGGUUUGGUCCAGCAGAAUGGUUUUCAUACCUCUUCUGUGGUCUCCUAUCUUCAAUGCAACUCUUCCUCUGUCACCCUCCCCACCACCACCACCCAUACGGGAGUCCAUCUUCACUUCUUAG
This is a non-coding RNA of Podarcis lilfordi (Lilford's wall lizard), 7100 nucleotides long. NCBI's taxonomy places the organism in Eukaryota, Metazoa, Chordata, Lepidosauria, Squamata, Lacertidae. The record is from the annotation of a GenBank genome assembly.